Molecule: unclassified non-coding RNA, 334 nt
Filed under: soil metagenome
Description: partial contains 5.8S ribosomal RNA, internal transcribed spacer 2, and large subunit ribosomal RNA
Rfam family: 5.8S ribosomal RNA (bases 1-120)
Source: RNAcentral
GAUGAAGAACGUAGCGAAAUGCGAUAAGUAAUGCGAAUUGCAGAAUUCAGUGAAUCAUCGAAUCUUUGAACGCACAUUGCGCCCGCCAGUAUUCUGGCGGGCAUGCCUGUUCGAGCGUCAUUUCAACCAUCAAGCCCUGCUUGCGUUGGGGUCCUGCGGCUGCCCGCAGGCCCUGAAAACCAGUGGCGGGCUCGCUAGUCACACAGAGCGCAGUAAUACAUCUCGCUUUGGGCGUGCGGCGGGUUCUUGCCGUUAAACACCCCCUUUUUACCAAGGUUGACCUCGGAUCAGGUAGGAAUACCCGCUGAACUUAAGCAUAUCAAUAAGCGGAGGA